UACGGAGUGUGCGAGCGUUACUCGGAAUCACUGGGCAUAAAGGGCGCGUAGGCGGGUUUUCAAGUCGGUUGUGAAAUCCCCCAGCUCAACUGGGGAACUGCAUCCGAUACUGUCUGUCUUGAGGACGAGAGGGGAGAGUGGAACUUCUGGUGGAGCGGUGAAAUGCGUAGAUAUCAGAAGGAACGCCGGUGGCGAAAGCGACUCUCUGGCUCGUAUCUGACGCUGAAGCGCGAAAGCUUGGGUAGCAAACGGG
Molecule: ribosomal RNA, 253 nt
Filed under: uncultured bacterium
Lineage: Bacteria
Description: partial 16S ribosomal RNA
Rfam family: Bacterial small subunit ribosomal RNA
Source: RNAcentral